Long non-coding RNA from Pezoporus flaviventris, 1240 nucleotides. RefSeq lists it as uncharacterized. The record is from RefSeq and is a predicted model, not a curated record. Lineage: Eukaryota; Metazoa; Chordata; Aves; Psittaciformes; Psittacidae. The transcript has 5 exons.
GAAGAAGUUGCCUCUAGAGGGUUAGGAGUUGGAUUUAGGUUUGUUAUGGGAGCAACGUAUGAGGAAAGAGUGCUGCUAGCAAGGCAAAGGUAAGAAGAGCAUAGAGGAUUCAACUUUUCUGUAGUUUCUUGCUGAGUAAAUGACAUAGGUCAAGAAGAAGUUAAACUGAGUACUAGAGAGCUUUAAAACUGAAGAAGAGACUGACAAAUAGCAUUACAUAUUUGAAAUCUUUUUGAUAACUUCAGUGGUUUGGGACUUCCUGGGAAGGUUUUAAAGGAGUUCAAGAUUCAUGGUUAACCUACUAGCAGAAUCACUGUUCCUCAAAAGAAGAGCUUCAGAAAUCAUCAUGAAGGAAUCAAAGGGCAUACUCUGAAUAAGUUCCAGUAAUGUCAACUUUAUAUGCAUGUCAGUGCAUCCUUUACGAAAUUGUUGAGCAGUCUUGUGAUUCUGAACUUGAGAUAAAUCCUCUGCCAUGUGUGUCUUUGCGUAGAGACAUGUGGGUCAAUAAUUAAUGAAAACAAAAUAAAACUACUACUGACAGGUGGGCUUUGAAAAGCAAUCUUUGUGAUAAAUAUAAACUUCAGUAGCUAUCUCACCAUUGAUUCAUAGAGUCUUUGUUAGCAUCAAAAAAUAUUUGCUUGAGGCCCUAGAGAAUUUUUUACACCUUGGCUUUGUCAGGUUGGAAAAUAUAUUUACAUACAACGUUUAUUUGAAGCUCGAGAAAGCGGAGAAAGAUAAAACAUUCCGUUGGAUUUAGUUUACUUUCUGUUUUUUUAUUUGAUUUUCAUUUCUUUAGUACACUGUUGGGGAGCAGGGGGAGGAAAGUUAAGGGUUUCUUUUAUAGUUACUUAUUUCUGCGCAAUGUUCUCCUUUUAAAAUGACAGUGCAACUAUGAUUUAGCCUUACCAAAAAUUUUUUAGAGGAAAAAUAAAAGAGUUCUGAACUGCCUUACCAUUUAAUGACCAGAGUCAUUAAUGUUAGAUGUUAAUUUGUUAAUGUUAGUCAUUAAUAAUAGAUGUAAAUCUAUCAAAAUGUAGAAUUGAAAUGGCUACAAUAAACUUUGGAUAUUUUAAAAGCAGAACUGAUUUUAGGUCCUCUCAUUCUCUCAUCUGUCCAGAUCAUCUAAUAACCAAUGUAUCUGCUACAGAUACAGAUCUACUCUGGAGGUUCUAUCUUAUCCACUGUAACAUUCAGUUAUUUUACCACUCAGCAUUUAUUAAAUUUUCUCAAUUCUCUGUUU